UCACCUACAUAUAUACAUGUUACACACUGACGGGUCGGGUCGGGUGAUCCGGCCCAAAAUUAAAUAAUGACAAUUGGGCUCAGACACAAAAUCAUCACAGCCCAGUUACAACCCAAUUACAAGGUGUACCAAAAUUAUAUACUGAGUAUACACAAAAAUGUACAAGCAUAUACAAAGCUAAAUCAUGUAGCUUCUUUCAUCUCAACACCCCGCUCAAGUUGGAGGGGGAAACCACCUGCAACUUGGUGAGCAGCGGAAUAAGUAUAGUGCCAGGCAGGGGCUUAGUGAGCAAGUCGGCCAGCUGACGAGAAGUAGCCACAUGAAGCAACUUGAGAAAACCAGAAAGUAGAAAGUUCCGAACAAAAUGGCAAUUCACCUCGAUAUGUUUGGU
This 391-nucleotide long non-coding RNA is filed under the name Nicotiana benthamiana. Its description in RNAcentral is "long non-coding RNA (NBEN_LNC031831)". Lineage: Eukaryota; Viridiplantae; Streptophyta; Magnoliopsida; Solanales; Solanaceae. The record is from RNAcentral.